GCCACAUGGAGCUGGAACCAGAUCAGGCUUUAAUGUUUGAAGUAAUGUCAGUUCUGCUGUUCUGACUCUAG
Homo sapiens (human) is the source of this 71-nucleotide microRNA precursor. The record is from Ensembl. NCBI's taxonomy places the organism in Eukaryota, Metazoa, Chordata, Mammalia, Primates, Hominidae.